UGCCCGGGGCACGUGCCCCCCUGCCCUCCUAUAGAUACGCCCCUGCCCUGAUAUUGAUCAUGUUUGGCCCUUGUGCUAGUGGAGUUCUGCUGAUCUCACAGUUAUGCCAAUGUUACCAUGGUACAACACCAGCAUAAAUCAUCAACAUCAAAAUUUCUUUGAGCUCCAUUGUCAUAAAUAAAGUUAGCAGCAACCCUUACCCCAUCAUCAUUCAGUGGCAUAAGUAAAGGAUAGGUUUGUGCUAUCAAUUAGCUGUCAAGUCCGUCAUUUAGCUAAUCAUUUCGCUAUUUGGUCAGACUUCAAGGAACUGCAUACCACAGAAAAGAAACAGCAACUCCAUUUCCUUUUCAUCCUGGAAGCCUCUAUUGUCAUCUGCCAAUUAGGAAAGUACUUUACUUUCCAUUUCAUUUGAUUUUAUACCACGGUUUAUUUUACAAUGAAGCCAAUAGAAACAAAGCAAAACUUGUUUCAACAUGCCUUCUGUAAACAAAGGCUGUUGAAAGCAGGAUGCAAAAAAGUGUGUGUGUGUGUGUGUGUGUGUGUGUGGUGGGGGGUCAUCUAUGGCUGUCUGCCUUUCUAACUUUGCCACCACAUUUUUCCAAAGCAUUGGCGUUAGGCAAAGGAUGAAUGGAAGUAUUGUUCAACUUUCCAAACUGGCACAAAGUGCAGUUGAGUCAGGGAAGGAGAAUAAAAUGGUCCUAACAUGAUAUACUGUAAAAGUAUGCAGCAGUUAUUCUUUUUUAAAUAGUGAUUUGUGUCUGAAGGUAGCACAAAUAGCAUUUCACACUUCAUCCCACAUCCUGUUGUAGUUAAUGCUUCAAUUCUGGGUUGGGUUUGGUAUCUUGCUGGGCAAGUUAGCACCUCAGUACUCGCAGGUAUUAUCCUUUGUGCAGUGUCCCUUGUGCUUGCCUAGCUGACACCCUGAAAUACACCCCACCCCCAUCUUGCCCAGUGUCCAGCAACAAAAGAAAGCUCAUAAGGUACUGCACCAGGAAAUGCUAGGGCAUACAUAGGAGAAAUCUAAGUUUCUCCUCUCAAACACAGAUUUCCUGUGUGGUCUUAGCAUAGAAGUACUCAGAUCCGUUUUUUCUUUCUUUUUGCAGGGCAAGGCUGGGGAAGGAAGUAACAUAGAUUGAUUUUAGCUUGCCAUAUGUCAAAGUUGGCAUGCAUAGGAGGCCUGCAGCCUCAGAUUAUAAAACCACUGGAUAGGGAAAGUGUGUGGCUCCUGUGUUCUGAACAGUAAGUUGUACACACUUAGCAUGAACUGUUAAGCAAUACGACACAUAAUGAUGACAAUUUUUUAAAAGGCCUGAAACUUUCUUAGGUAGUAUGAGUCACCUUAUAUUUAACUGAUGGCAGCCUAUAUAGUACACUCCAUACAAAAGUCAUCAUUGGUUCUGAUAAUCAAAUUUCUCCCAAUGCUGAUAUGUAACACAGGUUUUGGGAAAGACAGGAACACAGGAAGCUGCCUCAUACCAAGUCAGAUCAUUGGUCCAUCUAGCUCAGUAUUGUCUACACUGACUGUCAGAGGCUCUCCAAGGUUUCAGGCAGGAACUUCUCCUGUCCCUACCUGGAGAUGCUAGGCAGUUAAUCUAGAACCUUUGGCAUGCAAGCAGAUACUCUACUACUGUGCGACGGCCCUAUCCUCUACAGCAGACAGUGCUCACAUGCAUUCACCCAUCCAAAUACAAACCAGGGUACAUUUGCUUAGCAAAUGCUUAGCAAAGGGGACAAUUCAUGCUCACUACUGCAGGACCAGUUCUCUUCCCCAAGAUUGGGAGACAGAGAGGUCACCUGUCUGUGACAGGCAAGAUGCCAUAUUCUGGCACAAUAUGAUUUAAUUCUUAACCCUAAACGCAAAAAGAGUAGUCGGAGUAAUAACAAUUUCAUUUUGUCAUGGAUUUCUGUUGACCCUAAGGUUUUCUGUAGCAGCAACAUAUUGUAUUAAAUGAGCAGUUAAUAAGCAUGUAACAUUAUCAAUGCAGUAUAAAGGUGGAUUCCAACAUUUGUUCCAUGGUUCACUCCACUUUUACUGAACGUUCUUACUACACACAGGGUUGGUUUAUAACACAAUAGUGUUGUGAGGCAUGGUGUUAAAAUGUCAAGCAGUAGAGGUGGCUCUCUCCUGAGACUAGGAGUGGCCUUGCUGAUGUACAGCUCUGGAUAGUCAUAAGUAGUUGGUUGUUUUCCAACUCUUUUGAUUGAGAGUCACUUCCUGCUGAAAAGGUCUUAAAUUGGCUUCCCAGUCUAGGGCUGCAACCCUUCAUGCACUUACUUGGAAGCAAGCCACACAAACAUACUUAUGAGUGAAUGUGUAUAGGAUUGGGUUGUAAAUCUCAAGAGCUGAAUAGCAGCUAUUUAGAUUUUGAAAGAUAUGCUAAUCCUCUUGCAACAUCUGUCCUUUCUGCCUGCAUUUUGCUUCUGUUCAACUGCUCAACUUCUGCACUUGUAAAUAAACAGAGCAUUCACCACAAGUCUCCAGGGUGUUUUUCUCUCAUAGAGAAUGACCAUGUGAAUGGCGGUCUUGUCAAUGCUUUGGGGAAGAGAUGCACUAAAAACAAUACAUUUUCUUAGAGAACUUGGCAAUGAUAUGUCUUCUGCAUCAACAUGAUGUACAAUGUACACAAAGUGUGAUAGGUCUUUAUGCAGUUAGUUCAGAUCAGUUUUUGCAAAACUGAAAACAGGAUGUAUGAUUUAAGUAGCGGUGAGUUUUUAUUGCAUUAUUUCCUGACUGAAAGUUCAUUGUAAUAAUAUACUUUUCUGACAAUCUUGCCAGUUUUAGAUUGUAGUGAUGACAGGAUCCUAUCUGACAAUGGCUGCUAGACGAUACAGCUGAUUCCUGAGUCAUAUCAAAAAAGAUGAACUUGAGCAAGUUUCCUGGAUCGGUUUUUGCAAAUCCAUGCCAUCUCUCUGACUCAUAAUAAGUAUUCUGGUAGAAAAUCAGAUGAUAUUCCAUGUCUAAAAGUAUUCAGCCAGAUAUACAAUGGUCUCUUAAGCUAUUAUCAGGCUGCCAGCUUAGGAAAAUCUUCCAAGAUUUAAAACAAAAAAUCCCUUAAAUUGCAAUAUUCAAGAGUAAGUCAAAUUUUAACUUUCAUGUUUCCAACCUUCAGAACUGCAGAGAAUAUUCUUAAGCCUGUGUCUAUGGAAGACAUUUUAGGGGGGGGGAAAGCACCUUGGAAUUAGGCAUAUAUAGUCAUAACAUAUACAUAACAUAACACAUACAAUUCAUCACAAAUAUAUAGCCGUAUAAAGGCAAUAUAACAAUGAAAAUAGACAGUGUGGUAGAGGGACUAGAAUACUUGAUCUGAAUAUGGGGAAAGCUAGGUCAAACUCUGAUCCAUAUAUGAUUGCCCAAUAGGCAAAUCAUCAUAUCAAAUCAACAGGGCUGUUCAGGUCUUCCAUUCAAACACUCUAAACUCUUUGAUAGCUUUUCCUCAAGCAUUUGAUUUGAACACUUAAGCAGUCCCAUUCCUCCCAACUUCCUCGACGCCCCCACCCUCCCUGCCAGACUUCUCCCACUUUCCCAAGAAAAGAAAUUCCUUACAGGAGGGGGAGACAACAGCUACAGAGGACAGGACUAUGGGGCAGGAACACAACUUGUAAUAAAUAAUAAACCUUUAGCCCAAGUUCAUAGGCUCUGGUAAGUGCCCACAAUCUCCAGUGGCAAAUGACGGUCAGCUCCUGUCCUCUCCUCUGUGAGUGAGCACAUCAUGAUGGAAAUAAGUUUGAGAUCACAUGAAAAAUAGGGAGCAAGAGAAGUUUUCUGGAUUCAUCAGUGGGAUGAUAGUGGUCUGCUGCUGGCUGGCCUUUGGUAUUUGGGUUUGUUGGUUGGUUGAAUUGGCUGACAUGAUCCACAGCCUUCUGGUGAAGGAAGGUCUACAGAGGACUGCAGGUCCACAAGGAGCCUUCAGCAUCUCUACUGAAGGCUCCUUUCCACAGCAGACCUGGUGCAGAGUGGGAGAGGAGCAACUUUCACAUCCCUCUCCUCUCUUCAAAAGCCCUUUCUACUGAUACAAAUCUGUGUCUGAGGGCUGUGCAACCCUCAGGUACAGAUACAGAUCAGUGUAAAAUAAAGUGUAAGAUAACUGUGUUUGGAAAGAUACAGACUUUUGGAGGAGGGGGAAAGAGAGAAGCAAAAAUAGUUUUCUCCCCUCCCUCCACACCAGGUCUACUGUGCAAAGGAGCCUUCAGUGUAAGGACAUACAUCCCUCCACAGUCAUCCUUCUGUUGCCAUGGAGUUGCAGAUCAUGUCAGCCCUUAUGUCAAUUAUUUAGCAUCUUUAAAAUGUUGUUAUGCUAUUAUUUUUAUUGUUAUUAGUUUGUGACUCGCCUUAGGAGAAGAAAGGCAGCAUAAUUUUAAAAAGAACAACAUUAAAAUAAAGAGAUGAAAGAGCCCUCCGUGUUACAAAUUGUAAAGACUGGUGGAAAAGAAAGAAACUGGAAAUCAUGUACAAAGAUUACAAAUGGAAAAUAUUGUUAUUGUUGGCAGUGGGGUGAUAUUUUGCUUGUAUUAUUUUGCACUGAUACAAACAUUUUUUUAAUUAAUCACAGGUCAGUUGACAAAAAGGUUAGAAAAUGCACAACCAGCAUGUGCCAAAUUUCUUUAAUCCUCUUACUUGUCAAAGAAGAUAGAAGUAUUUUAGCAUAAGAAGCCUAGAAGUUUAGAUAAGCUGUUUUAAAACUUAAAAAACAAAACAAAAAACAGGAAGUCAAAUAUCUAUUUUAAAAGAUUUUCUGCAGCUGCACUAUGAAGGGAAACAAAGCAUGAUUUGGACUUUUUUUAAAGUGGAAAUUUGAUACCACGAAAUCUGUGCAUUUAGUGCUGCCCUGGGAUUUUAAACUUCUUUCACCAUCUUCCACCAUUUAUGCUUUUCUUGUUGCUUCAUGGUUUAUCUCUUCUUUUCUCAAGUACCAUCAUUUCCUCAUUAGCCCUUCAACAGGAGAACUAAAGGGACUUCAGUGGGACUUCAGCCUACCCAAAGCCUACUCCACCACCAUUCACACACUACUGUGCUGAAAGUUGAAGUUCCUCUCAAAGGUGCCCCAAGGUGCACAGUACGGUCCACUUCUGAAGGCUGUAUCCCUGGUUCCCAAAAAUCACAGGCUUCGCAGGGCAGCCACUGACAAGCAUGGUGGUUCAGUUACCCAGGUCCUAGCCCUCAUUUUUGCUGCAAGAGGAGAGGUCCAGAAGAUUGCUGUAUCAUGGCUUCUCCAGACACCCAAGUGUAGAACCCAUGAAAUGCCCAAUGGAGUCUACAAUGCCUUGCAGGGUCAUGAUGUAGUAAUGCUUGUGGCUGUAGUACUUGUGUCGGUGGGGAGGGGGGCACUAAGAUCUCCAUGUGUGUCCCAUCUAUACACACAACGAGGACUGGGAAUACCUUCUGCAGGAACCCUGUAGGAAACCUCCUGAGGGUUGCCCACUCAGAUCACGUCAUCAAGGAAGAGCUAGUUCAAGAGAAGAACUACUUCCCAGAAAAUUCUGCAUGCCAUCAAGUGCCAACCGCAAACAGGUUGCUGAGUGUCAGGUAGUUUGCGUUGGAGGCCAACUUGUACAGCAUGAUGGCAAGGCAAUUAUGUACUGGCAUGGCAUGGCACAUGGCUGUGUCCUGGCAGUGGAGGAUUGGCUCCAUUUCACUGGCAAGGAAGCCAAAGGUCUGUCUGGACAUUCUGAAUCUGCCCAUGAAACACUGAUCAUCCCACUCUGAGAUGGUGAUUUCUUGGGCACUGUUGGCACAGUGGGCCGAUGACCCAAAAAUGGACCCAUGACAGGUGGCUGGACCCAUGAAGGGUACUCUUGGGCGUGUUGUGGAUGUAAAGGGCCCAUGUCCCCCCUGUGGACCCAUGAAGGGUGCCUGCAGCAGUUGGGGUGGCUAGGGCUAGCCGCGGCAGUGGACCCAUGAAGAGUGCCUGCGGAGGUACAGAGGUUGGAGUGGCCCUCCUCUGGUUCAUUGUCAGGAACACCAGGCCCUAUGUCCAGCAAGGGGGCUGUCUGGAACUCCCGGCCAGAAGAUUCCUCCACUGCCCUUCCUGGAUAACACAUCUUCAACAGUGUGUGUGAACAUCUUCAAGGGUGUGUGAACAGUUCCUCCACCUGUUUCAUGUCCAGUAUCUGCUUGUGUGGAGUGUUGCACUCUGCACACAAUCGUGCUCCUGGCUGUCCUCGUCAAAGUAGUGGGAGGGUGGGAGGUGCUGCAGGGUCUUGUGUCUCAUCAUCUUGUGUCUCAUCAUCUUCCUCUCCAGAGUCUAUGAAGUAGAAACCAGACUGGAGUGGCUGUCCCGAGGCAUCCACAAAUUGCAUGAGUACAGGGACUGGAGGGACACAGCAUCCCAGUUGCCAAGCAGCAGCAGAAGGAGAAAGGAGAUGGAAGGGAACAGGGCGUAGGCUCCAAGAGGUGGCCCGCAAGAACAGCAGCCGCCCUGGAACUGACACAUUUCUGGGCUGCUCUGAGCUGGCCUCUCAAUGGUAGCAGGAGGAGCUUAUGCAUGAAAGCCAGAAAUGGGCCUUCUGAAUAUAAUGGUAACUCCCAGCAAAACUGAUAUUUUAUCUCCUACCAGGACCUUGUACAAUGUUAUUUAUAGCUUUAAGAAUUUGUCUGUGUCUGUAUGAGGAAAUGGUCAAAGUUGUCUGUAUGAGGAAAUGGUCUGGUGACAUUUGAGUAGCUGUCAAACCACAUAGAUUUGCAAGUAUCUGUUUAAAAACUUCCAAAGAAAAUGUUUAGUUGAAUGAGCAUUAAGUGGUUUCCAAAGGUAACAUUUUGGUUACACAAGAGAUCUAAUUUCUCACAGCUCCUCAGCCAACCUGUGCACUCGAUUUUAGACUUCAUGACUUCACAGUCUGUGAAGUCAUCUACAAAACUGCAAGAUUCCCAGGGGGAUUAUGUAAAUUUGAUCUGCCCUCCUCCAUAAAUCUUUUGCACCAUGACUGUGAGGUAUUUACAAUGCCUUUGAAGUUUUUGAGUACACAGGGCAUCAGCAAAGGAAUUGCAUGUGAGUCAGUACAGCAGAGCAUCAGGAUUACUACUUAACAAGUAUCUAUCCAGCCUUUCAGUCCAAUUCUAGGUCCCCAAAGCAGAUGCAAAACAAA
Molecule: long non-coding RNA, 7083 nt
Organism: Hemicordylus capensis (graceful crag lizard)
Lineage: Eukaryota; Metazoa; Chordata; Lepidosauria; Squamata; Cordylidae
Exons: 3
Source: RefSeq, a predicted model, not a curated record